GACGAACCGUGCGAACGUUGUUCGGAAUCACUGGGCUUAAAGGGCGCGUAGGCGGGUCGUUAAGUUAGAGGUGAAAGCCCAGGGCUCAACCCUGGAAUUGCCUUUGAUACUGGCGGCCUUGAGUAUGGCAGAGGUGUGUGGAACUCCGAGUGUAGAGGUGAAAUUCGUAGAUAUUCGGAAGAACACCAGUGGCGAAGGCGACACACUGGGCCAUUACUGACGCUGAGGCGCGAAAGCGUGGGGAGCAAACAGG
This 253-nucleotide ribosomal RNA is filed under the name uncultured bacterium. RNAcentral's name for it is "partial 16S ribosomal RNA". It matches the Rfam family "Bacterial small subunit ribosomal RNA", at positions 524 to 776 of the family's 1533-position model. The record is from RNAcentral.